Molecule: long non-coding RNA, 914 nt
Organism: Pocillopora damicornis (cauliflower coral)
Lineage: Eukaryota; Metazoa; Cnidaria; Anthozoa; Scleractinia; Pocilloporidae
Source: RefSeq, a predicted model, not a curated record
CCGUUUCGAACUACGGUUUCGUUCGAAUGUGGAUGAUGACAGUUCUAACGUUUGAGGUACAUUAACAGUCAGCCAGUUAUGAACAGAGAUUCUAUAAACUAGAUACCAGUCACCAUUCAAGAAUCAGCCAUGGACAUCCAUUUUUGGAGUCAUUCAAGAGAGACAGGGUAACGGAACUAACCAUAUUAAAGUACAGAGUAGAAAAACGGACUCCUCUUAACAUCAAUGGAGCGCCUUUUACGAUCUUAAACGUUCACUUGGAUUGCGUUUUAGAGCAGAUAUUCUGGUGUGACAAUCCUGAUUCACGACAAAUAUAAAGAGAAAAUGUAGCAAGUUUACUCUGGGUACACCAGACAGCUGUUGUCUAUCAUGACGAAGGUCCUGGAACCAUCAGGAUUUUUUCCGGUGCAGGAAAUCUUCUAAAAAUAUUAAUCUAGGUGUGGCUCGUAAGGAUGUUCAGUGGCCUGCUAAAGGACCUGAAAGAAACAUAAAAUAGGCAUUCUUUGGUCUACGAAUUCAUUGACGUCAAAAUAUAAAUUAAAAAAAAUGUACGUUAACCCUUUACACCCAACAUCAGUAUGCAUAUUCUCCAUACUGUUUCCUAUACAUUUCCUGAGGUGAUGAUCAAGAGAAUUUGUGUAACAAUCAAGAGCUUAUAUAUUUGGUGAUCAUUUCCUUUACUCUCGUGACUCUGGUGUAUGACUCAGGGUUGAUAUCGUGAAGAAAAAUUAGCUGCCAGCCAACCACAUGCGAAACCAUCUGAGAAAGUAAAGCACUUUGUUUGUUUUUUUUCAACUUGAGAUAAAUUCCGACGGACUUGUACUCUUUCUACUAUCGUAAAAAAUUAUGAAGUGUACGCUCUGUAAUGAUGUAUAAAAUGAACAUAUUGAAUACAGCUGAACAGCCUAAUGAAA